GUUUUUGGAAGGCAUCAGGUGUGUCCAUGACCUCACCUCAACUGUGGCCAUCCUCACCUGGUGUUCCCAUUAUCUAAACAAAGUCCAACAGCCACAAGAGUUGCACAAGCCCUCAGGAAGCUGGAACUUGCCUCCUGCAAGAAAUGCACAUUAAUAGCGGCUUCUUCCCUGAGGAAGGUUUUGAACUGGAGUACUUGAGAAGAAACUUACAACAGAGCAGCCUAAAGUGCCACCCAGUCCCUUUUAAUUAGCACAUAGCAGACCUCUUACAUUUUUGUUGGCUGCUAACGUACUAAGCGUUUUUUGGCAGCAUGCGGUUCUGGAUUGAAGCCAUGCAUGCAAGUCUUCCACAUUGUGCUCUUUUCCCAGCAUGUUCCCCAGGACAUUGGAAGAAGAGAAAAGCUGAAUCAGUUUGGAAAAACAUAAAUAUUUCUGAACGUGUGGACAGUUCUCACUUCUCAUGUGUGGGAGGAAUAUUUCACUGCCCUCCUACCCAUCACUCAAAUGUCCCGAUCAAGUUAUUGAAAUAAAUUAUCUUAAAGAAUAAUUAUCUGACAAGAAUUCUUUUCCUGUCUCAAAAAGCACAUCUACUACCCUAUAAGCUUUUUUACCUACAUAGCUUACACACAGGCUGAUUUCAAUAAAUAAACUGGAUGAUGCCUAAAUCCUCUG
This 672-nucleotide long non-coding RNA is filed under the name Zonotrichia albicollis (white-throated sparrow). RNAcentral's name for it is "lncRNA (ENSZALG00000003868.1)". Lineage: Eukaryota; Metazoa; Chordata; Aves; Passeriformes; Passerellidae. The record is from RNAcentral.